GUCUCUGGCCAUCCGAGUUGUAAUCUAGAGAAGUGUUACCCGCGUCGGACCGUGUAUAAGUCUCCUGGAAUGGAGCGUCAUAGAGGGUGAGAAUCCCGUCUUUGACACGGACUACCGAGGCUUUGUGGUAUGCUCUCAAAGAGUCGAGUUGUUUGGGAAUGCAGCUCAAAAUGGGUGGUAAAUUCCAUCUAAAGCUAAAUAUUGGCGAGAGACCGAUAGCGAACAAGUACCGUGAGGGAAAGAUGAAAAGAACUUUGGAAAGAGAGUUAAACAGUACGUGAAAUUGCUGAAAGGGAAACGCUUGAAGUCAGUCGCGUUGGCCGGGAAUCAGCCUUGCUUUUGCUUGGUGUACUUUCUGGUUGACGGGCCAGCAUCAGUUUUGACCGGUGGAAAAAGUUCAGGGGAAUGUGGCAUCUUCGGGUGUGUUAUAGCCCUUGUUCGUAUACAUCGGUUGGGACUGAGGAACUCAGCACGCCGCAAGGC
RNAcentral lists this ribosomal RNA (483 nucleotides) under Psathyrella sp. RNAcentral's name for it is "partial large subunit ribosomal RNA". It matches the Rfam family "Eukaryotic large subunit ribosomal RNA", at positions 127 to 611 of the family's 3401-position model. The record is from RNAcentral. Lineage: Eukaryota; Fungi; Basidiomycota; Agaricomycetes; Agaricales; Psathyrellaceae.